AACGAACGCUGGCGGCAUGCCUAACACAUGCAAGUCGAACGAGACCUUCGGGUCUAGUGGCGCACGGGUGCGUAACGCGUGGGAACCUGCCCUUAGGUUCGGAAUAACUCCCCGAGAGGGGUGCUAAUACCGGAUAAUGUCUUCGGACCAAAGAUUUAUCGCCUUUGGAUGGGCCCGCGUUGGAUUAGCUAGUUGGUAGGGUAAAAGCCUACCAAGGCGACGAUCCAUAGCUGGUCUGAGAGGAUGAUCAGCCACACUGGGACUGAGACACGGCCCAGACUCCUACGGGAGGCAGCAGUGGGGAAUAUUGGACAAUGGGCGAAAGCCUGAUCCAGCAAUGCCGCGUGAGUGAUGAAGGCCUUAGGGUUGUAAAGCCCUUUUACCCGGGAUGAUAAUGACAGUACCGGGAGAAUAAGCUCCGGCUAACUCCGUG
This 433-nucleotide ribosomal RNA is filed under the name uncultured bacterium. Its description in RNAcentral is "partial 16S ribosomal RNA". It matches the Rfam family "Bacterial small subunit ribosomal RNA", at positions 29 to 507 of the family's 1533-position model. The record is from RNAcentral.